RNAcentral lists this ribosomal RNA (360 nucleotides) under Cyclophora tenuis. RNAcentral's name for it is "partial Bacterial large subunit ribosomal RNA". It matches the Rfam family "Bacterial large subunit ribosomal RNA", at positions 2516 to 2873 of the family's 2925-position model. Lineage: Eukaryota; Bacillariophyta; Fragilariophyceae; Cyclophorales; Cyclophoraceae. The record is from RNAcentral.
GUUUGGCACCUCGAUGUCGGCUCAUCGCAUCCUGGGGCUGGAGCAGGUCCCAAGGGUAUGGCUGUUCGCCAUUUAAAGUGGUACGCGAGCUGGGUUUAGAACGUCGUGAGACAGUUCGGUCCCUAUCCGGCGUGGGCGUAGGAUAUUUGAGAGGAGCUGUCCUUAGUACGAGAGGACCGGGAUGGACGGACCGCUGGUGUACCUGUUGUUCUGCCAAGAGCAUGGCAGGGUAGCCAAGUCCGGAAGGGAUAAACGCUGAAGGCAUCUAAGCGUGAAGCCCCCCUCAAGAUGAGAUAUCCCAUAACGUCAAGUUAGUAAGACCCCUUGAAGACGACGAGGUAGAUAGGGCAGAGGUGGAAG